Molecule: transfer RNA, 85 nt
Filed under: Puniceicoccales bacterium
Lineage: Bacteria; Pseudomonadati; Verrucomicrobiota; Opitutia; Puniceicoccales
Description: tRNA-Ser
Rfam family: tRNA
About the family: Transfer RNA (tRNA) molecules are approximately 80 nucleotides in length. Their secondary structure includes four short double-helical elements and three loops (D, anti-codon, and T loops). Further hydrogen bonds mediate the characteristic L-shaped molecular structure. tRNAs have two regions of fundamental functional importance: the anti-codon, which is responsible for specific mRNA codon recognition, and the 3' end, to which the tRNAs corresponding amino acid is attached (by aminoacyl-tRNA synthetases). tRNAs cope with the degeneracy of the genetic code in two manners: having more than one tRNA (with a specific anti-codon) for a particular amino acid; and 'wobble' base-pairing, i.e. permitting non-standard base-pairing at the 3rd anti-codon position.
Source: RNAcentral
GGAGAGGUGACAGAGCGGCCGAUUGUGCCUGUCUCGAAAACAGGUGUACCGCAAGGUACCGAGGGUUCGAAUCCCUCCCUCUCCG